This 51-nucleotide ribosomal RNA is filed under the name Acropora cervicornis. RNAcentral's name for it is "partial 18S ribosomal RNA". It matches the Rfam family "Eukaryotic small subunit ribosomal RNA", at positions 1782 to 1831 of the family's 1831-position model. Lineage: Eukaryota; Metazoa; Cnidaria; Anthozoa; Scleractinia; Acroporidae. The record is from RNAcentral.
GUAAAAGCUCGUAACAAGGUUUCCGUAGGUGAACCUGCGGAAGGAUCGUCA